CCUACGGGAGGCAGCAGUGAGGAAUUUUGCGCAAUGGGGGAAACCCUGACGCAGCAACGCCGCGUGAGUGAUGAAGGCCUUUGGGUCGUAAAGCUCUGUCGAGUGGGAAGAACUUGUUGGAUGCUAAUACCAUCCUUCACUGACGGUACCACUAAAGGAAGCACCGGCUAACUCCGUGCCAGCAGCCGCGGUAAUACAGAGGGUGCAAGCGUUAUUCGGAAUUACUGGGCGUAAAGGGCGCGUAGGCGGCCUCUUAAGUCAGAUGUGAAAGCCCGGGGCUUAACCCCGGAAGUGCAUUUGAAACUAAGGGGCUUGAGUAUGGGAGAGGGAAGUGGAAUUCCUGGUGUAGCGGUGAAAUGCGUAGAUAUCAGGAGGAACACCGGUGGCGAAGGCGACUUCCUGGACCAAUUCUGACGCUGAGGCGCGAAGGCGUGGGGAGCAAACAGGAUUAGAUACCCCGGUAGUCC
RNAcentral lists this ribosomal RNA (467 nucleotides) under uncultured bacterium. RNAcentral describes it as "bacterial SSU rRNA". It matches the Rfam family "Bacterial small subunit ribosomal RNA", at positions 338 to 796 of the family's 1533-position model. The record is from RNAcentral.